This 441-nucleotide ribosomal RNA is filed under the name uncultured bacterium. Its description in RNAcentral is "partial 16S ribosomal RNA". It matches the Rfam family "Bacterial small subunit ribosomal RNA", at positions 338 to 795 of the family's 1533-position model. The record is from RNAcentral.
CCUACGGGUGGCAGCAGUGGGGAAUAUUGCACAAUGGGGGAAACCCUGAUGCAGCAACGUCGCGUGGGUGAAGGCGCGUUUCGGCGCGUAAAGCCCUGUCAGCGGGGAAGUAGAAAGACGGUACUCGACCAAGAAGCCCCGGCUAACUACGUGCCAGCAGCCGCGGUAAUACGUAGGGGGCGAGCGUUAUCCGGAUUUAUUGGGUGUAAAGGGUGCGUAGACGGGAAGUCAAGUUGGUUGUGAAAUCCCUCGGCUUAACUGAGGAACUGCAACCAAAACUAACUUUCUUGAGUGCUGGAGAGGAAAGUGGAAUUCCUAGUGUAGCGGUGAAAUGCGUAGAUAUUAGGAGGAACACCAGUGGCGAAGGCGGCUUACUGGACUGUAACUGACGUUGAGGCUCGAAAGCGUGGGGAGCAAACAGGAUUAGAUACCCCAGUAGUC